UUUUAGGUCCAAUAAAUUUUUAUUUUAAAUUUAUUUUUAGUACUUAAAUAAUAUUGCAGACUUAUUUAAUUACUUUCAUCUGUAAUUAUGUUAUAAUUAUUAUUUCUUUAGUGAAUAAUUAAAUAUUUAAUUAACUUAAUAAAUGGUAAUUAUUAUUUUAAAUUUUUUUAUUUUCAUUUAAUGAAAUAUUUAAAUACUAAUCAUUCACUAAGUAAAUAGUAAUUAAAACAUAAUUACUAAAUAAAGUAAUUAAAAAAGAGAAAUCAUCCUUUUCCACAUGGGUUUAUUAGUCCCCUCCUAAGGAAGUGUUUUUGGUGAGCCCAGCCAGUAUUAGCAAUCUCAUUGAAGACUAGGAUUAAAUAAAACAAACAUGGGACAAAAUUUAGUCCAAGCUAAGCCUGUGUAAUGAGAACUAGUGCCCACACACUAUUUUACACUAUAUUGUAAGUUGGUUUAUUCAAAAAAAAAAAAAAAAAGUGAAAUUACAGACAUGGGAUUAGCCAAGUUGGCUAGAGCGGAUGUGCUCCCUUACUCUUCACUGAGUUCGAACGCCCCUCCCCGUAGUUUAAAUUAGUUUAAAAUAGAAUAUCGCUUAAAAAAAUAUCCAUGUUAAAUUUCCAUACAAAAUUAGUUAAAUACCCAUUCCUAGACAUAAAACUAUAAAUAACCCUUAUACUAUUUAUUGUAUAUAAACACACCCAAAAUAAACCCAAAAAUCGAUAGUUGUCGAUUUUUUCAAUUCAACAGUUAUAUUAUAUUACGGUUUUGCCCCUUUGCAAUUUGAGAAAUAGCUGACUUAUUAUUAUUAUUUUUUAAAUCUUUUAUUUAAUAACAAUUAUGUUGUAGAUUGAAGAGGAAUAAGAAGAAGAAGAGCAUCGACCAUGGCGGUGAGCAGCUUGUGCGGCUCCAGACUCAUCUUCUUCUGCCAAUCCUUUCGAUGCUCUUGGCAACGCUCUUAUCGGUUCUUCUUCCAAGACUUAGGUUUGUCAUCUUCCUCGUUGCUGCUGUAUAUAUUUUUUUUUAAUGUGAAAAUAUAUUGUAUUAUGCCUUUCAAGAUAAUGAACCGUU
RNAcentral lists this long non-coding RNA (1068 nucleotides) under Prunus persica (peach). RNAcentral's name for it is "long non-coding RNA (PPER_LNC001869)". Lineage: Eukaryota; Viridiplantae; Streptophyta; Magnoliopsida; Rosales; Rosaceae. The record is from RNAcentral.